Molecule: ribosomal RNA, 1137 nt
Filed under: uncultured organism
Description: bacterial SSU rRNA
Rfam family: Bacterial small subunit ribosomal RNA
Source: RNAcentral
CAGUGGCGAACGGGUGAGUAACACGUUGGUGACCUGCCCCGAGGUGGGGAAUAGCUGUGGGAAACCACGGCUAAUACCCCGGAUGUUAAAGAGUUUAGACAUCUUUAACUAAAGUUCCGGCGCCUCGGGAGGGGCCUGCGGGCUAUCAGCUUGUUGGUGGAGUAACGGCCUACCAAGGCUAAGACGGCUAGGGGGCGUGAGAGCGCGAGCCCCCACAAUGGAACUGAGAAACGGUCCAUACUCCUACGGGAGGCAGCAGUGAGGAAUAUUGCACAAUGGGGGAAACCCUGAUGCAGCAACGCCGCGUGAACGAUGAAGGCCUUCGGGUUGUAAAGUUCUUUUAUGGGGGACGAUAGUGACGGUACCUCAGGAAUAAGUCCCGGCUAACUACGUGCCAGCAGCCGCGGUAAAACGUAGGGGGCGAGCGUUAUCCGGAUUUAUUGGGCGUAAAGCGCAAGUAGGCAGCGUUGUAAGUUGGACGUGAAAGCUCCCGGCUCAAGUGGGAGAGGUCGUUCAAAACUACAGUGCUCGAGGUUGGAAGAGGAGAGUAGAAUUCCCGGGGGUAGUGGUGGAAUGCGUAGAUAUCGGGAGGAAUACCAGUGGCGAAAGCGACUCUCUGGUCCACACCUGACGCUGAGGUGCGAAAGCGUGGGUAGCGAACGGGAUUAGAUACCCCGGUAGUCCACGCCGUGAACGAUGGAUACUAGGUGUAGGGGGUCACUGAAUCCCUCUGUGCCGUAGCAAACGCGUUAAGUAUCCCGCCUGGGGACUACGGCCGCAAGGUUAAAACUCAAAGGAAUUGACGGGGGCCCGCACAAGCAGCGGAGCGUGUGGUUUAAUUCGAUGAUACGCGAAGAACCUUACCUGGGCUGAACUACGUGGUAGUAGAGAAGCGAAAGCGGAUCGACCCUUCGGGGAGCCUCGAUAGGUGCUGCAUGGCUGUCGUCAGCUCGUGUCGUGAGAUGUUGGGUUAAGUCCCGCAACGAGCGCAACCCUUGUCGUUAGUUAUACGUGUCUAGCGAGACUGCCGGUAUCAAACCGGAGGCAGGUGGGGAUGACGUCAAGUCAGCAUGGUCUUUAUGUCCAGGGCUACACACACGCUACAAUGGCCGGUACAACAGGUUGCUAUACCGCGAG